This 273-nucleotide ribosomal RNA is filed under the name uncultured bacterium. Its description in RNAcentral is "partial 16S ribosomal RNA". It matches the Rfam family "Bacterial small subunit ribosomal RNA", at positions 524 to 796 of the family's 1533-position model. The record is from RNAcentral.
UACGGGGGGUGCGAGCGUUGUUCGGAAUCACUGGGCGUAAAGAGCGUGUAGGCGGCUGGUCAAGUCUGGUGUGAAAGCCCGGGGCUCACCCCCGGAAGUGCGCUGGAAACUGGUCAGCUAGAGUAUGGGAGAGGGAAGUGGAAUUCCUGGUGUAGCGGUGAAAUGCGUAGAUAUCAGGAGGAACACCGGCGGCGAAGGCGGCUUCCUGGACCAAUACUGACGCUGAGACGCGAAAGCGUGGGGAGCAAACAGGAUUAGAAACCCGUGUAGUCC